Brassica napus (rape) is the source of this 116-nucleotide non-coding RNA. The record is from Rfam. NCBI's taxonomy places the organism in Eukaryota, Viridiplantae, Streptophyta, Magnoliopsida, Brassicales, Brassicaceae.
UGGCGAUGAUGAAAAAAAGGCCGGACUUACGGCUGCUACCACUCUCUUACGGAUGUUUAAGUGGGUGUUGUAGUAGAAUGAUGCUAAAGUUUCCAAAGGUUACUUCGCUGAGCCUC